CUCGCACGCACGAGGAGUCUUUCUCCGAGCACCGUUCCGGCGAGCGUGUUCCUCGGUUGCUCUAAUUUUCGGAAUAUGCGGGGCUUGUCGCAGCAAUAAAAUAGCGAACAUCACACUAAAAGACGUAAAGAAAGAAGGAAACCUGCUCGUUGUAAGUCUCCCGAACACAAAAACGAAGAAACCUCGUACCUUCGUCAUUACAGCAGAAUUCGCAAAAGUCGUACAACAAUACACAGACCUGCGUCCACAAAAUGCAUCGACCGAUCGCUUUUUUCUGAAUUUCCAAGAAGGCAAAUGUACUUCUCAAGUUAUCGGCAUACAUAAAUUUUCUAAAAUGCCAAAAGAAAUUGGCCGCGUAUUUGAAAUUGGAUGACCCGGCGAGUUACACAGGACACGCGUUUCGCAGAACCUCUGCAACAUUGCUUGCAGACAGCGGGGCCAACAUCACGACGUUGAAGCGUCACACGGUGGAUGGAAAUUGAGCAACGUUGCAGAAGGCUAUAUCGAGGAGUCCGUAAAAAAAAAAAGUCGAAAAUUGGUAACAUUUUAUCAACGGCGGUCAAUUUUGCCUCAGCUGAACCUUUUGAAGAAAAUACCAAUGCUCCACCGCGAAAACAUCAAAAAGUUGAAACGAUUAUGUCCUGAAAAACAAUACAGAAACGUAGUUGACCGUGGUGACUGACAAAAAUUCGCCAAUGAAACGAAAUUUUGUAUUCAGCAACUGUACUGUUGUCAUAAAUCAAAACACAGUUGACCAUGGUCACUGACAAACAUUCGCUAAUGAAACAAAAUUUUUUAUUCAACAACUGUAUGCUGUUGUCAUAAAUCAAAAGUGAAUAUUGAAAUUAAAAAACUUGACGUAUAUGAAUAA
Molecule: long non-coding RNA, 871 nt
Organism: Venturia canescens
Lineage: Eukaryota; Metazoa; Arthropoda; Insecta; Hymenoptera; Ichneumonidae
Exons: 2
Source: RefSeq, a predicted model, not a curated record